GCCCAGACUCCUACGGGAGGCAGCAGUGGGGAAUAUUGCACAAUGGGGGAAACCCUGAUGCAGCGACGCCGCGGGAGCGAUGAAGUAUUUCGGUAUGUAAAGCUCUAUCAGCAGGGAAGAAGAUGACGGUACCUGACUAAGAAGCCCCGGCUAACUACGUGCCAGCAGCCGCGGUAAUACGUAGGGGGCAAGCGUUAUCCGGAUUUACUGGGUGUAAAGGGAGCGUAGACGGCGAUGCAAGCCAGAUGUGAAAGCCCGGGGCUCAACCCCGGGACUGCAUUUGGAACUGUGUAGCUGGAGUGUCGGAGAGGCAGGCGGAAUUCCUAGUGUAGCGGUGAAAUGCGUAGAUAUUAGGAGGAACACCAGUGGCGAAGGCGGCCUGCUGGACGAUGACUGACGUUGAGGCUCGAAAGCGUGGGGAGCAAACAGGAUUAGAUACCCCAGUAU
Molecule: ribosomal RNA, 447 nt
Filed under: uncultured bacterium
Lineage: Bacteria
Description: bacterial SSU rRNA
Rfam family: Bacterial small subunit ribosomal RNA
Source: RNAcentral